Molecule: ribosomal RNA, 433 nt
Filed under: uncultured bacterium
Lineage: Bacteria
Description: partial 16S ribosomal RNA
Rfam family: Bacterial small subunit ribosomal RNA
Source: RNAcentral
AACGAACGCUGGCGGCAUGCCUAACACAUGCAAGUCGAACGAGACCUUCGGGUCUAGUGGCGCACGGGUGCGUAACGCGUGGGAACCUGCCCUUAGGUUCGGAAUAACUCCCCGAAAGGGGUGCUAAUACCGGAUAAUGUCUUCGGACCAAAGAUUUAUCGCCUUUGGAUGGGCCCGCGUUGGAUUAGCUAGUUGGUAGGGUAAAAGCCUACCAAGGCGACGAUCCAUAGCUGGUCUGAGAGGAUGAUCAGCCACACUGGGACUGAGACACGGCCCAGACUCCUACGGGAAGCAGCAGUGGGGAAUAUUGGACAAUGGGCGAAAGCCUGAUCCAGCAAUGACGCGUGAGUGAUGAAGGCCUUAGGGUUGUAAAGCUCUUUUACCCGGGAUGAUAAUGACAGUACCGGGAGAAUAAGCUCCGGCUAACUCCGUG